Molecule: ribosomal RNA, 274 nt
Filed under: uncultured bacterium
Lineage: Bacteria
Description: partial 16S ribosomal RNA
Rfam family: Bacterial small subunit ribosomal RNA
Source: RNAcentral
AUACGGAGGGUCCAAGCGUUAUCCGGAAUCAUUGGGUUUAAAGGGUCCGCAGGCGGUCAAUUAAGUCAGAGGUGAAAGCCCAUCGCUCAACGAUGGAACUGCCUUUGAUACUGGUUGACUUGAGUUAUACGGAAGUAGAUAGAAUAAGUAGUAUAGCGGUGAAAUGCAUAGAUAUUACUUAGAAUACCGAUUGCGAAGGCAGUCUACUACGUAUAUACUGACGCUGAGGGACGAAAGCGUGGGGAGCGAACAGGAUUAGAUACCCCUGUAGUCC